RNAcentral lists this ribosomal RNA (287 nucleotides) under uncultured bacterium. RNAcentral's name for it is "partial 16S ribosomal RNA". It matches the Rfam family "Bacterial small subunit ribosomal RNA", at positions 335 to 614 of the family's 1533-position model. The record is from RNAcentral.
AUCCUACGGGAGGCAGCAGUAGGGAAUCUUCGGCAAUGGGGGCAACCCUGACCGAGCAACGCCGCGUGAGUGAAGAAGGUUUUCGGAUCGUAAAGCUCUGUUGUAAGAGAAGAACGUGGGUGAGAGUGGAAAGGUCACACAGUGACGGUAACUUACCAGAAAGGGACGGCUAACUACGUGCCAGCAGCCGCGGUAAUACGUAGGUCCCGAGCGUUAUCCGGAUUUAUUGGGCGUAAAGCGAGCGCAGGCGGCUGGAUAAGGCUGGAGUUAAAGGGCGUGGCUUAACC